GUGGAAACCCGUGUUAUCCUUGAUGAAGUAUGGAGCAUUGUAAGAGACGUUCAGUGACAUCACUCCAUGCUGGGAAGUUUUUGAAGUCGGGUUCGAUUCCAUUUCCAUUUAUAUCUUUGUGAUUUGGGGUAACAUACUUCCCAACAGUGACAGCAACACCAGACCCGUCAUGAAGUUCAAAAACAGACUGAAUUAAACCCUUGCCAUAAG
RNAcentral lists this unclassified non-coding RNA (210 nucleotides) under Hevea brasiliensis (rubber tree). The record is from RNAcentral. Lineage: Eukaryota; Viridiplantae; Streptophyta; Magnoliopsida; Malpighiales; Euphorbiaceae.